Molecule: ribosomal RNA, 253 nt
Filed under: uncultured bacterium
Lineage: Bacteria
Description: partial 16S ribosomal RNA
Rfam family: Bacterial small subunit ribosomal RNA
Source: RNAcentral
CACGUAGGGCGCGCGCGUUGUCCGGAAUUCUUGGGCGUAACGAGCUCGUAGGCGGCCUGUUGCGUCCGCUGUGAAAGCCCGGGGCUUAACCCCGGGUCGGCAGUGGAUACGGGCAGGCUAGAGGUAGGUAGGGGAGAAUGGAAUUCCCAGUGUAGAGGUGAAAUUCGUAGAUAUUGGGAAGAACACCGGUGGCGAAGGCGGCGACCUGGUCCUUGACUGACGCUGAGGCGCGAAAGCGUGGGGAGCAAACAGG